GCUGGCGGCGUGCCUAAUACAUGCAAGUCGAGCGAACAGAUAAGGAGCUUGCUCCUUUGACGUUAGCGGCGGACGGGUGAGUAACACGUGGAUAACCUACCUAUAAGACUGGGAUAACUUCGGGAAACCGGAGCUAAUACCGGAUAACAUAUUGAACCGCAUGGUUCAAUAGUGAAAGGCGGCUUUGCUGUCACUUAUAGAUGGAUCCGCGCCGUAUUAGCUAGUUGGUAAGGUAACGGCUUACCAAGGCAACGAUACGUAGCCGACCUGAGAGGGUGAUCGGCCACACUGGAACUGAGACACGGUCCAGACUCCUACGGGAGGCAGCAGUAGGGAAUCUUCCGCAAUGGGCGAAAGCCUGACGGAGCAACGCCGCGUGAGUGAUGAAGGUCUUCGGAUCGUAAAACUCUGUUAUCAGGGAAGAACAAAUGUGUAAGUAACUGUGCACAUCUUGACGGUACCUGAUCAGAAAGCCACGGCUAACUACGUGCCAGCAGCCGCGGUAAUACGUAGGUGGCAAGCGUUAUCCGGAAUUAUUGGGCGUAAAGCGCGCGUAGGCGGUUUUUUAAGUCUGAUGUGAAAGCCCACGGCUCAACCGUGGAGGGUCAUUGGAAACUGGAAAACU
This 625-nucleotide ribosomal RNA is filed under the name uncultured bacterium. Its description in RNAcentral is "bacterial SSU rRNA". It matches the Rfam family "Bacterial small subunit ribosomal RNA", at positions 35 to 642 of the family's 1533-position model. The record is from RNAcentral.